AUUCACUAACUCGGAAACGGAGCCAUUCUUGUUUUGUUUGAGUGGUGCCGUGUGUUUGUGCGAGCGAAUGAAUGCGAGAGAGUGUGAUUGUUUUAUGUCUGUAAUGUUUUAUGUCUUAGUUUAGCGACAAAAAAAAAAAAAAAACUACACAGUGAUCUUAUUUGAUCUGGUCGGGGUUUGGCCUGGCUCCGAUUCGGAAAUGAUAGUACCCGACAUGCGAGCCCCAGAGGCCAUGAGCAUGAAGCUUCCACUAACUUCAGGGCCUCCACAAGAAAUUGUGGUCAGAAGUGAUGACUCGAUCAGAUAUACUAGUGCCGAGGAGAUUUGUGGUUUUACCUCAUUCUCCACACCGGCCAAUGAGUAUAACAGCGAUUCUGAUCUGC
Salmo salar (Atlantic salmon) is the source of this 383-nucleotide non-coding RNA. The record is from Rfam. Lineage: Eukaryota; Metazoa; Chordata; Actinopteri; Salmoniformes; Salmonidae.